This 497-nucleotide ribosomal RNA is filed under the name uncultured bacterium. RNAcentral describes it as "partial 16S ribosomal RNA". It matches the Rfam family "Bacterial small subunit ribosomal RNA", at positions 28 to 507 of the family's 1533-position model. The record is from RNAcentral.
GAUGAACGCUGUCGGCGUGCCUAAUACAUGCGAGUCUAGCGAACGUACUAGAAGCUUGCUUCUCUGAUGUUAGCUGCGGACGGGUGAGUAACACGUGGAUAACCUACCUAUAAGACUGGGAUAACUUCGGGAAACCGGAGCUAAUACCUGAUAAUAUUUUGAACCGCAUGGUUCAAAAGUGAAAGACGGUCUUGCUGUCACUUAUAGAUGGAUCCGCGCUGCAUUAGCUAGUUGGUAAGGUAACGGCUUACCAAGGCAACGAUGCAUAGCCGACCUGAGAGGGUGAUCGGCCACACUGGAACUGAGACACGGUCCAGACUCCUACGGGAGGCAGCAGUAGGGAAUCUUCAGCAAUGGGCGAAAGCCUGAAGGAGCAACGCCGCGUGAGUGAUGAAGGUCUUCGGAUCGUAAAACUCUGUUAUUAGGGAAGAACAUAUGUGUAAGUAACUGUGCACAUCUUGACGGUACCUAAUCAGAAAGCCACGGCUAACUACGUG